RNAcentral lists this long non-coding RNA (338 nucleotides) under Capsella rubella. Its description in RNAcentral is "long non-coding RNA (CRUB_LNC001636)". The record is from RNAcentral. Lineage: Eukaryota; Viridiplantae; Streptophyta; Magnoliopsida; Brassicales; Brassicaceae.
GAUCAAUGGCAUAUGGACUCUUCUCAAACCAAGACAUUCUACGUAUGAUUUCACUUCUUCUUCCUUUUCUCACUUCUAAGAUAAUCGACAUCUCCCUACUAGGGUAUCAUUUUAUUUUUUCAACGAUCCCUUUUUCUUCUCUUUUAUUUUUUUUCUUUUUUUCUGUUUUUCUUUUUUUGUUCUUUUUUUUUUGUUUUUAAUUCGGGUAUUCAUGAGAUCCAAAGUAUGCACGGGUUUACGCGAUCCCUCAUAUGACUUCUACCUAUAGCCUUUUCUACAUUUUCUUUUAAAGGCUGAAGGGAAGAGAGAAGGAAGGAAUCAUACUUUGAAGAAGUGCA